Molecule: ribosomal RNA, 65 nt
Filed under: uncultured bacterium
Lineage: Bacteria
Description: partial 16S ribosomal RNA
Source: RNAcentral
UGGGCUUGACAUCCCGAGAAUUUUCUGGAAACAGAGAAGUGCCUCAACUCGAGGAGCUUGGAGAC